ACUCCUACGGGAGGCAGCAGUGGGGAAUUUUCCGCAAUGGGCGCAAGCCUGACGGAGCAAGACCGCGUGAGGGAAGAAGGUCUGUGGAUUGUAAACCUCUUUUGAUAGGGAAGAAGACAGUGACGGUACCUAUCGAAUCAGCCUCGGCUAACUCCGUGCCAGCAGCCGCGGUAAUACGGAGGAGGCAAGCGUUAUCCGGAAUUAUUGGGCGUAAAGAGUCCGUAGGUGGGUAACCAAGUCAGCUGUUAAAUAGUGAAGCUUAACUUCAUAGAGGCGGCUGAAACUGGUGGUCUAGAGUGUGGUAGGGGUAGAGGGAAUUUCCAGUGUAGCGGUGAAAUGCGUAGAUAUUGGAAAGAACACCGGUGGCGAAAGCGCUCUACUGGGCCUGCACUGACACUGAGGGACGAAAGCUAGGGGAGCGAAAGGGAUUAGAUACCCCUGUAGUCCUAGCCGUAAACGAUGGAUACUAGGCGUUGCCCGUAUCGAC
This 487-nucleotide ribosomal RNA is filed under the name uncultured bacterium. RNAcentral's name for it is "bacterial SSU rRNA". It matches the Rfam family "Bacterial small subunit ribosomal RNA", at positions 335 to 836 of the family's 1533-position model. The record is from RNAcentral.